GAUGAACGCUAGCUACAGGCUUAACACAUGCAAGUCGAGGGGUAACGAGAGGAAAGCUUGCUCUCCUUGUCGACGACCGGCGCACGGGUGAGUAACGCGUAUCCAACCUGCCCCCAACUAGGGAAUAACCUUGCGAAAGUAAGACUAAUACCCUAUAAUUUCCUCAGAUGUCAUCUGACGAGGAAUAAAGAUUUAUCGGUUGUGGAUGGGGAUGCGUCUGAUUAGCUUGUUGGCGGGGUAACGGCCCACCAAGGCAACGAGCAGUAGGGGUUCUGAUAGGACGGUCCCCCACAUUGGAACUGAGACACGGUCCAAACUCCUACGGGAGGCAGCAGUGAGGAAGAUUGGUCAAUGGGCGGAAGCCUGAACCAGCCAAGUAGCGUGCAGGAUGACGGCCCUAUGGGUUGUAAACUGCUUUUAUAGUAGAAUAAAGUGAUCCACGUGUGGAUUUUUGUAUGUAUACUAUGAAUAAGGAUCGGCUAACUCCGUGCCAGCAGCCGCAGUAA
Molecule: ribosomal RNA, 506 nt
Filed under: uncultured bacterium
Lineage: Bacteria
Description: partial 16S ribosomal RNA
Rfam family: Bacterial small subunit ribosomal RNA
Source: RNAcentral